RNAcentral lists this transfer RNA (50 nucleotides) under Brunfelsia guianensis. RNAcentral's name for it is "partial tRNA-Leu". The record is from RNAcentral. Lineage: Eukaryota; Viridiplantae; Streptophyta; Magnoliopsida; Solanales; Solanaceae.
AAAAUCCGUCGACUUUAAAAAUCGUGAGGGUUCAAGUCCCNCUAUCCCCA